RNAcentral lists this ribosomal RNA (635 nucleotides) under uncultured Marinobacter sp. RNAcentral's name for it is "bacterial SSU rRNA". It matches the Rfam family "Bacterial small subunit ribosomal RNA", at positions 870 to 1504 of the family's 1533-position model. Lineage: Bacteria; Pseudomonadati; Pseudomonadota; Gammaproteobacteria; Pseudomonadales; Marinobacteraceae. The record is from RNAcentral.
CGCCUGGGGAGUACGGCCGCAAGGUUAAAACUCAAAUGAAUUGACGGGGGCCCGCACAAGCGGUGGAGCAUGUGGUUUAAUUCGACGCAACGCGAAGAACCUUACCUGGCCUUGACAUCCAGAGAGCUUUCCAGAGGUGGAUUGGUGCCUUCGGGAACUCUGAGACAGGUGCUGCAUGGCCGUCGUCAGCUCGUGUCGUGAGAUGUUGGGUUAAGUCCCGUAACGAGCGCAACCCCUAUCCCUGGUUGCUAGCAGGUAAUGCUGAGAACUCCAGGGAGACUGCCGGUGACAAACCGGAGGAAGGUGGGGAUGACGUCAGGUCAUCAUGGCCCUUACGGCCAGGGCUACACACGUGCUACAAUGGCGCGUACAGAGGGCUGCCAACUCGCGAGAGUGAGCCAAUCCCUUAAAACGCGUCGUAGUCCGGAUCGGAGUCUGCAACUCGACUCCGUGAAGUCGGAAUCGCUAGUAAUCGCGAAUCAGAAUGUCGCGGUGAAUACGUUCCCGGGCCUUGUACACACCGCCCGUCACACCAUGGGAGUGGAUUGCACCAGAAGUAGUUAGUCUAACCUUCGGGAGGACGAUUACCACGGUGUGGUUCAUGACUGGGGUGAAGUCGUAACAAGGUAACCGUA